GGAUCCGCAAAGUCGGCCCGGGGAAUUCAACCUGUCGGCUGKCGGCGGGCUGCGUGUUCUCGGGAUCCGCAAAGACUCACGCGCAGUUCAGGCCGUCACCGGUCGGUGCACUUUUCUCGGGUAGAGCGCCACGACCGGUUUUCCGGCAGUCAGAAGCCGGCGUGGAAGGUGACCACCUCUUGUCAAAAGGAGGGGGUGUUAUAGCCACGCCGCGUGGAGCUUGCUGGGAGACCGAGGAAAUGCCGUGUCCCGCCUGCCUUCGGCCCUCGUCGUUCGAUCAAAUUGAGUGUACUGCUUGCAGUGCUCUCUAAGCGCGGAUGGCGAUCGGCUGGAUGGCACGGGUGCACUCAGGGUCAGUGGCGAAUCGGUCGGCCCUCCACCCGACCCGUCUUGAAACACGGACCAAGGAGUCUAACAUGUGCGCGAGUCAUGGGGUUCUACGAAACCUAAAGGCACAAUGAAAGUGAAGGCAGCCUCGGGUUUUGCCUAGGUAGGAUCCUCUUCCUCCGGGGUAGAGGUGCACUACCGGCCCGUCUCGUCCGCAUUUGUCGGUGAGGCGGAGCAAGAGCGUACACGUUGGGACCCGAAAGAUGGUGAACUAUGCCUGAGUAGGACGAAGCCAGAGGAAACUCUGGUGGAGGUCCGUAGCGA
RNAcentral lists this ribosomal RNA (651 nucleotides) under Lissarca notorcadensis. Its description in RNAcentral is "eukaryotic LSU rRNA". It matches the Rfam family "Eukaryotic large subunit ribosomal RNA", at positions 598 to 883 of the family's 3401-position model. The record is from RNAcentral. Lineage: Eukaryota; Metazoa; Mollusca; Bivalvia; Arcoida; Philobryidae.